UGGGGAAUUUUGGACAAUGGGCGCAAGCCUGAUCCAGCCAUGCCGCGUGCAGGAUGAAGGCCUUCGGGUUGUAAACUGCUUUUGUACGGAACGAAAAGGUGCCUUCUAAUAAAGGGCGCUCAUGACGGUACCGUAAGAAUAAGCACCGGCUAACUACGUGCCAGCAGCCGCGGUAAUACGUAGGGUGCGAGCGUUAAUUGGAAUUACUGGGCGUAAAGCGUGCGCAGGCGGUUUUGUAAGACAGAGGUGAAAUCCCCGGGCUCAACCUGGGAACUGCCUUUGUGACUGCAAGGCUGGAGGGCGGCAGAGGGGGAUGGAAUUCCGCGUGUAGCAGUGAAAUGCGUAGAUAUGCGGAGGAACACCGAUGGCGAAGGCAAUCCCCUGGGCCUGCACUGACGCUCAUGCACGAAAGCGUGGGGAGCAAACA
This 427-nucleotide ribosomal RNA is filed under the name uncultured bacterium. Its description in RNAcentral is "bacterial SSU rRNA". It matches the Rfam family "Bacterial small subunit ribosomal RNA", at positions 355 to 774 of the family's 1533-position model. The record is from RNAcentral.